CCUACGGGUGGCAGCAGUGGGGAAUAUUGCACAAUGGGGGGAACCCUGAUGCAGCGACGCCGCGUGAGUGAAGAAGUAUUUCGGUAUGUAAAGCUCUAUCAGCAGGGAAGAAAAUGGCGGUACCAGACUAAGAAGCCACGGCUAACUACGUGCCAGCAGCCGCGGUAAUACGUAGGGGGCAAGCGUUAUCCGGAUUUACUGGGUGUAAAGGGAGCGCAGACGGCUGUGCAAGUCUGGAGUGAAAGGCGGGGGCCCAACCCCCGGACUGCUCUGGAAACUGUAAAGCUGGAGUGCAGGAGAGGUAAGCGGAAUUCCUAGUGUAGCGGUGAAAUGCGGAGAUAUUAGGAGGAACACCAGUGGCGAAGGCGGCUCACUGGACUGCAACUGACGUUGAGGCUCGAAAGCGUGGGGAGCAAACAGGAUUAGAUACCCGAGUAGUC
RNAcentral lists this ribosomal RNA (440 nucleotides) under uncultured bacterium. RNAcentral's name for it is "partial 16S ribosomal RNA". It matches the Rfam family "Bacterial small subunit ribosomal RNA", at positions 338 to 795 of the family's 1533-position model. The record is from RNAcentral.